UCGAGGUGGUGGAAUAUUUGACGCCCAUUACUAGACAAAGUAUGAGAUGACCAAUUAAUUGUUUAAUUGGAUUUGGGUUCACAAAUAGGAAGACAUCCCUACAGACCGCCUGGGGUACCGGUAAGCGGGUAAAAAUAAAAAAUGAUCGUUUUUUGUUAUCUUAUAUAUGAUAAUAAAAAGUGUAUAGAAAUGGUUUUCAUAGGUUAUUUUUGGACAAAAACUUGUUUACGUAAAUAUGAAAUAGAUGACUUUCUUCAUAAUAAAU
This 265-nucleotide long non-coding RNA is filed under the name Carica papaya (papaya). RNAcentral's name for it is "long non-coding RNA (CPAP_LNC007555)". The record is from RNAcentral. Lineage: Eukaryota; Viridiplantae; Streptophyta; Magnoliopsida; Brassicales; Caricaceae.